Molecule: ribosomal RNA, 465 nt
Filed under: uncultured Klebsiella sp.
Lineage: Bacteria; Pseudomonadati; Pseudomonadota; Gammaproteobacteria; Enterobacterales; Enterobacteriaceae
Description: bacterial SSU rRNA
Rfam family: Bacterial small subunit ribosomal RNA
Source: RNAcentral
CCUACGGGUGGCUGCAGUGGGGAAUAUUGCACAAUGGGCGCAAGCCUGAUGCAGCCAUGCCGCGUGUGUGAAGAAGGUCUUCGGGUUGUAAAGCACUUUCAGCGGGGAGGAAGGCGGUGAGGUUAAUAACCUCAUCGAUUGACGUUACCCGCAGAAGAAGCACCGGCUAACUCCGUGCCAGCAGCCGCGGUAAUACGGAGGGUGCAAGCGUUAAUCGGAAUUACUGGGCGUAAAGCGCACGCAGGCGGUCUGUCAAGUCGGAUGUGAAAUCCCCGGGCUCAACCUGGGAACUGCAUUCGAAACUGGCAGGCUAGAGUCUUGUAGAGGGGGGUAGAAUUCCAGGUGUAGCGGUGAAAUGCGUAGAGAUCUGGAGGAAUACCGGUGGCGAAGGCGGCCCCCUGGACAAAGACUGACGCUCAGGUGCGAAAGCGUGGGGAGCAAACAGGAUUAGAUACCCGGGUAGUC